This 494-nucleotide ribosomal RNA is filed under the name uncultured bacterium. RNAcentral describes it as "partial 16S ribosomal RNA". It matches the Rfam family "Bacterial small subunit ribosomal RNA", at positions 28 to 507 of the family's 1533-position model. The record is from RNAcentral.
GACGAACGCUGGCGGCGUGCCUAAUACAUGCAAGUCGAGCGGACUUAAAAAGCUUGCUUUUUAAGUUAGCGGCGGACGGGUGAGUAACACGUGGGCAACCUGCCUGUAAGACUGGGAUAACUUCGGGAAACCGGAGCUAAUACCGGAUAAUCCUUUUCUACUCAUGUAGAAAAGCUGAAAGACGGUUUACGCUGUCACUUACAGAUGGGCCCGCGGCGCAUUAGCUAGUUGGUGAGGUAACGGCUCACCAAGGCGACGAUGCGUAGCCGACCUGAGAGGGUGAUCGGCCACACUGGGACUGAGACACGGCCCAGACUCCUACGGGAGGCAGCAGUAGGGAAUCUUCCGCGAUGGACGAAAGUCUGACGGAGCAACGCCGCGUGAGUGAUGAAGGUUUUCGGAUCGUAAAACUCUGCUGUUAGGGAAGAACAAGUACGAGAGUAACUGCUCGUACCUUGACGGUACCUAACCAGAAAGCCACGGCUAACUACGUG